This 427-nucleotide ribosomal RNA is filed under the name uncultured Alphaproteobacteria bacterium. RNAcentral describes it as "bacterial SSU rRNA". It matches the Rfam family "Bacterial small subunit ribosomal RNA", at positions 8 to 481 of the family's 1533-position model. Lineage: Bacteria; Pseudomonadati; Pseudomonadota; Alphaproteobacteria. The record is from RNAcentral.
AGAGUUUGAUCAUGGCUCAGAACGAACGCUGGCGGUAGGCCUAAUACAUGCAAGUCGAGCGAACCCUUCGGGGUUAGCGGCGGACGGGUGAGUAACGCGUGGGAACAUACCCAGAGGUACGGAACAACAGUUGGAAACGACUGCUAAUACCGUAUACGCCCUUCGGGGGAAAGAAUUUCGCCUUUGGAUUGGCCCGCGUUGGAUUAGAUAGUUGGUGGGGUAAUGGCCUACCAAGUCGACGAUCCAUAGCUGGUUUGAGAGGAUGAUCAGCCACACUGGGACUGAGACACGGCCCAGACUCCUACGGGAGGCAGCAGUAGGGAAUCUUAGACAAUGGGCGCAAGCCUGAUCUAGCCAUACCGCGUGAGUGAUGAAGGCCUUAGGGUCGUAAAGCCCUUUCCGCCUGUGAAGAUAAUGACGGUAGCAG